Nannospalax galili (Upper Galilee mountains blind mole rat) is the source of this 825-nucleotide long non-coding RNA. RefSeq lists it as uncharacterized. The transcript has 4 exons. NCBI's taxonomy places the organism in Eukaryota, Metazoa, Chordata, Mammalia, Rodentia, Spalacidae. The record is from RefSeq and is a predicted model, not a curated record.
GCGGAUGCGGCUCCCUAUAUACAGCCCGGUCACCAUGGGGAUAGGCCGGGGCCUCUUCCUGUUGGUCCAGACCCCUCAGUCUGCCCAGAGAAGCCGCUACACGAGCGUGGUGAUUGGUGCAAGCGACAUGGGAUGAGGAAAAUAUCCAGUGAAAAAUAACUGAGCUACCAAGUUAAAAUAAAGAGGAGAGUUAUAUAAUAUAAAAAGAAAACCAUUUUGUAACGUUGCUUUCAUCCACAGACAACUGUGCAAGGAAAUGGAUUGCAGUGACAUUCUUUUGCUACAUAGAAAGCCUCUAUUCUCAGCAAGGAUGGGCCAGGCGAUAUAGAUGUUCAGUAGCAGAGCUUUAGUGUCUGUAGCACUGGUGGGUGCCGCAGAGUCCAUCAUUCUCACAGUGCUGGCAGGCAGGGCGUGCUAUGGGAAGGAGGCAGAAGACCAGCUCCUGCAGGCUGCUGUAUGAAAAUGUGGUCAUGAGAUUUCCUCACCCACCAUCCACAGCCCUGCCUGACUUGUUUAAAUCUGCUGUGAAAAUCUUUUUUUGAAAAAAUAAAAGAAAAUAAACCCAACACACAAAUCAUUUCUUUAGUCCUUGAAUGUUUCAUAGGAAAAAUAGUCCACCAAUCAUCUUCAUCAUUUUAGGAAACGGAAGUAUAUUUUAGUAAAGAAACAGAAGGAUUAAGGGUGACUUGACUGCUUCUUUCUAAACUUGUAAGUACAUUUAACAAGAAUAAGAAUUAAAUGAUAGCAGGUCUGUCUCAGAGAAGCCCACACCCAUGUUCUUGGGUGUGUCUUUUUGUGUCUUUUAACCCUCAUGCUUAAAUUUUA